Molecule: ribosomal RNA, 407 nt
Filed under: Amblyomma maculatum (Gulf Coast tick)
Lineage: Eukaryota; Metazoa; Arthropoda; Arachnida; Ixodida; Ixodidae
Description: partial small subunit ribosomal RNA
Source: RNAcentral
AGUAUUUUGACUAUACAAAGGUAUUGAAAUAAGACUUUAAUUGAGUGCUAAGAGAAUGGAAUUUCAUAAAAUUUCUUUUUUAAUUUUAAAAAUUGAAAUUAAUUUUAUAUGUGAAGAAACAAUAAUAAAAAUUAAGGACAAGAAGACCCUAAGAAUUUUAAAAAUUUUAAUAAAAUACAGCAUUUUAUUGAAAUUUUUUAAUUGGGGCGAUUAUUAAAUAUUAAAAACUUUAAUUUUUUAAAAAAGAACCAAUAAUAUUGGUUAUUUGAAAAAAUACUCUAGGGAUAACAGCGUAAUAAUUUUUGAUAGUUCUUAUAGACAAAAUAGUUUGCGACCUCGAUGUUGGAUUAGGAUUCUUUUUUAAUGAAGAAGUUAAAAAAAGAAGUUUGUUCAACUUUUAAAAUCCU